GCGCCAGGUACUGUACCUUCUUGGCAUGCCUGUUCACCUCCAACCGUUGCUGGGCCGCUGCACACAGAGAUGGGGGCAUGGAGGCCAUUAGGCCGCGGUGUAGUUGCGGCAUGGUGGAGACAUGGACGGAAGGAGAAGCGUCUCAAGCGAGGCAGGUUUAGAGAGAUUGUAGUUUUUUUUUCUUUCUCGUAGCGAGAUAUGGCGAGAUGCAACAAGGGAGGUUAUCUACUCAGAUUGCGUGGAUUUUCCUGGCGGAGCAGCAGCCCAGCCAGCGGGCGUGAGGCCUAGGCGCGUUGGACGGCCAGCGAUGGCCAAAAAAGUCGAUCGAACAGCCGAGAGUGGUGAGGGGCUGAGAGAGCUCGGAGUCUGUGUUUUGUUAUCUCUAAUAUCCAUUCUUCAUGAUUUUUCCACCGAGCGUUGUUGAUGGCUAGAAAUUGUUUGAUACUUAUUCUCGCUCGUGACAAACAAAAGCGUCCACUACGAUCGAAUGAUCGAAUCAUGGUUGAGGUUCUGGC
This 515-nucleotide long non-coding RNA is filed under the name Brachypodium distachyon (stiff brome). RNAcentral's name for it is "long non-coding RNA (BDIS_LNC002565)". The record is from RNAcentral. Lineage: Eukaryota; Viridiplantae; Streptophyta; Magnoliopsida; Poales; Poaceae.